AGCGAACGCUGGCGGCAGGCCUAACACAUGCAAGUCGAACGAACCUUUCGGGGUCUUUGGCGGACGGGAGAGUAACACGUGGGAACGUGCCUUUAGAUGUGGACUAACUCAGGGCAACUUGUGCUAAUACCGAAUGUGACCUACGGGGGCAUGAUUAUUCGCGUUUGGAGCUGACUGCGUCUGAUUAGCUAGUUAGUUGAGGUAAUGGCUCCCCAAGGCGUCGAACAGUAGCUGGUCUGGAAGGAUGGUCAGCCACAUUGGGACUGAGACACGGCCCAAACUCCUACAGAAGGCAGCAGUGGUGAAUCUUGCGCAAUGGGCGAAAGACUGACGCAUCCAUGCCGCGUAAAUGAUGAGGGACUUAAGAUUGUAAGAGUCUUUCGACAGGUACGAUUAUGACGGUACCCUGAGAGGAAGCCACGGCUAACUACGUG
This 434-nucleotide ribosomal RNA is filed under the name uncultured bacterium. RNAcentral's name for it is "partial 16S ribosomal RNA". It matches the Rfam family "Bacterial small subunit ribosomal RNA", at positions 29 to 507 of the family's 1533-position model. The record is from RNAcentral.